UGGCGGACGGGUGAGUAACGCGUGGGUAACCUGCCUUACACAGGGGGAUAACACUUAGAAAUAGGUGCUAAUACCGCAUAAGCGCACAGUGUCGCAUGAUACAGUGUGAAAAACUCCGGUGGUACAGGAUGGACCCGCGUCUGAUUAGCUGGUUGGCGGGGUAACGGCCCACCAAGGCGACGAUCAGUAGCCGGCCUGAGAGGGUGAACGGCCACAUUGGGACUGAGACACGGCCCAAACUCCUACGGAAGGCAGCAG
RNAcentral lists this ribosomal RNA (258 nucleotides) under uncultured bacterium. RNAcentral describes it as "partial 16S ribosomal RNA". It matches the Rfam family "Bacterial small subunit ribosomal RNA", at positions 96 to 354 of the family's 1533-position model. The record is from RNAcentral.